This is a long non-coding RNA of Rosa rugosa (rugosa rose), 1028 nucleotides long. RefSeq lists it as uncharacterized. The transcript has 3 exons. The record is from RefSeq and is a predicted model, not a curated record. NCBI's taxonomy places the organism in Eukaryota, Viridiplantae, Streptophyta, Magnoliopsida, Rosales, Rosaceae.
GAUACCGAAACAAAGCAAAAAUUUCUCCAAGCUCUCUUUUCCUCCACAGGCCAUCAUUCAACGCCGGACAACCUCCAGUGGCAUCAUCUCAGCUUUGCGAAGCUACCUGCAGCGGUUUUGGGUCACGGCACAGUCGGAAACGGCGGCGAAGAGACCGGGUACGUCCAGCCCCGAUUUCUUUCCAAGUGUGAUAACUCGAGCUACAGAUCACGAAACCUCCUCAAACUUCGUCCACAGCUUCGCUUCAACCAUCUGAAACUCCCAGAAACACCCUUUCACGGCGGCGCUGUCUCUGGAGGCGGUUGGAGUUCAACCCCGACUUGAAUCGAAACGGAGCAAGGGAUCCAAAUAUCUCGAGUUACAGGACUUCGUUUUAGGUGUUUCUUGAACCAGUGAGUUCAUCUUGUGUUUCUUAACAACUCUUCAGAAGGAAUCGAAGCCCGAAAUUGAAGUUUUUACGUCGGAAUUCAAGCUCGCCGGAUUCUGGAAAUUUUCCGGCCACCGACGCUUUCGAUCAAGAUAUCUCGAGCUGUAGAGCUUCGUUUUGAGUGAUUCUUGAACCAGUGAGUUCGUCUUUAAGUUCUGAACAAGUCUCCUGAAGGAAUCGAAGCGAAAGGAGGACAUUUUUACGUUGAUCGGAGCUUCGCCAGUUUCUGCAAAUUCUCGCCGGUUUCUGGAAAAAUUCCGGCCACCUCGACUGUUUUAGGUGAUUGACGGUCUCCCUUGGGUGAGCGGUUUCGGUGUGUAUUGUGUUGAAUUGAAGACGCAGCGGGAAUAUCGAGCGGAUAAUCCUACAGGACUGGAGAAUUCAGGAAGGUGAUCGAACCGUGUAGAGUAGCUGCUUUGUAAUACUCUGAUUUUCAGUUGUGAGGUUUGUUAUGCUCAUUAGAGCUUUACAAUUUACUUUGUACGAGUGAGUUGUAAUAAUUAACUCGAGGUCUUCGAGUUUUGAAUUUGAGCGUGAGUGGCGAGGUUGUUUCUGAGAAAAAAAAAUUCAGAACGUUUAUUUGUUUAAGUUGUUUAAUUCA